GAUGAACGCUGACAGAAUGCUUAACACAUGCAAGUCAUUGGCGAAGCUGCGCUUGCGCAGUCUAGCCAAGGCGGACGGGUGAGUAACGCGUAAGGAACUUGCCCUGCAGACAGGGAUAACAGACGGAAACGACUGAUAACACCUGGUAUUGUCAGGCUGGCGCAUGCCGGCCUGAUGAAAGGAGACGCUGCAGGAGAGCCUUGCGUCCUAUUAGCUAGUUGGUGGGGUAACGGCCCACCAAGGCGAUGAUAGGUAGCCGGCCUGAGAGGGUGAACGGCCACAAGGGGACUGAGAUACGGCCCUUACUCCUACGGGAGGCAGCAGUGGGGAAUAUUGGACAAUGGGGGCAACCCUGAUCCAGCAAUUCUGUGUGCACGAAGAAGGUUUUCGGAUUGUAAAGUGCUUUCAGCAGGGAAGAAGAAAGUGACGGUACCUGCAGAAGAAGUGACGGCUAAAUACGUG
RNAcentral lists this ribosomal RNA (462 nucleotides) under uncultured bacterium. Its description in RNAcentral is "partial 16S ribosomal RNA". It matches the Rfam family "Bacterial small subunit ribosomal RNA", at positions 28 to 507 of the family's 1533-position model. The record is from RNAcentral.